Molecule: RNA transcript, 1664 nt
Organism: Helianthus annuus (common sunflower)
Lineage: Eukaryota; Viridiplantae; Streptophyta; Magnoliopsida; Asterales; Asteraceae
Gene name: endonuclease V
Exons: 5
Source: RefSeq, a predicted model, not a curated record
AAGAAAUGGGUUGAGUAAGUAAGCAUCCUCCGAUCUCCUCACCUCUUUCGUUCAUUCCUCUUGAAUCUCACAUAUCCAAUUAGGGCUCAGGACACGUUAAAGAGGAAAUUAAUCACUGAAGACGAUUACAACUGGAAAUUGGGGGAAUCAGAAGAAGAUGAGAGCAGUGGAGUACAAGUGUUGAAGUAUAUAGGUGGAUUUGAUAUCAGUUUCUCUAAACAUCACCCCUCUUCAGCCUGCGGAACUCUCGUUGUUUUGGAUUUCAAAACCCUAAAUGUUGUUUAUGAGGAUUCCUCAAUCGUUACGAUCGAUGUUCCCUAUGUUCCUGGAUUUCUUGCCUUCAGAGAGGCUCCAGUAUUUGUACAACUUUUGAAGAAAAUGCAGGAUUCUUCUCAUUCUUGCUACCCUCAGGUGCUGCUUGUCUCUGUGGUUUGAUCGUAGCCUUUCUUUUUUCUGCAACAUGUGACUAAAUGAUAAGCUAUGCAUGCAGCUACCAAAAGUUAAUUUGACACGUGUACACAGAAUCUGAAUCUCAUUAUCAAGUUUACUCUUUGAAGCCACUUUUUUAACUAACUUGACAUCUUUUUCUUUUUGUCAUAAUCAGUUGUUGAUGAUCGAUGGAAAUGGAAUACUUCAUCCUAGAGGCAUGUGCUUCUGUUAAAGCUAUCUUUGUAGCCUAAAUUCUGGGCUUUGUUUGGUGUGUCCUUAUAGUUGGGGAUCUAAUGCUUUUGGUAGUUAAGGUGAUUUUGAUGGUAUUAGAUAAAACGACUAGCCAAAUUUUUGUUUGAAAUUUCCAAUUUUUUUUCUGCUAAUUUAGGGCUUAAGAGGGCUUUUGGUAUAUCACAGCCUUAAAAUAAAACGGUCUUCUUUUUCAGUUAUUUCAAGCGACGUCGACUUCUUAUUUUAUUCCAGAACAAUCAUGAUUCACAUUAGUUUUUACUUGAGAACUUGAUAGUUUAAAACCAACAAAAAUAGUAUGUAAGAAAGCAUGUUAAGAUCAACUAUACGUGUAAAAGAAAGUACGUUAAGAACGUGAAUGAUUAACCACACAGGUGAAUUUGUACCUAAUUUUGAUAGGUUGCCUUCCUCAUAUCGUUGGUUUUAAUACGUGACAGAAUGGUGAGUGAUUAUUUUCUACACCAUGUUGGUAUCAAGUAUGCUGCAUUUAUUAAACUUUUUAUAUGCAGGCUUUGGCUCAGCUUGCCAUCUCGGUGUUCUUGCUGAUCUCCCCACAAUCGGCGUAGGGAAGAAUACAGUUGCAUCAUGUGGAUGGUCUUACCAACUCCAGAGUAAGGGAGCUUCUAGAAGCUGAAGACAACUUCAACGUAGGCUUCAUCCCUUUAGUUGGGGACUCAGGGAACACUUUAGGAGCAGCAUUACAUUCAAGUAAAGGGUCAUUUAAACCAAUAUUUGUUUCAGUUGGCCACCGCGUAUCUCUUGCUUCUGCUGUUGAAAUCGUUAAAAGAACAUGCAAAUACCGUGUGCCAGAGCCCAUCAGGCAGGCUGACAUAAGAUCAAGAGACUAUCUUCGGAAGCAUCAUUGAAGGUUACAAUAGGUGCUGUCAUUGUAUUAUUCUAAUAAUCUUCUUUCUUGUUGUUUGAAAAGUUCACUGUUUAUAAUUAAUAUCUGAUUUAUGAAUAUAAAAGCUAAGCAUCUGGGUUAA